Molecule: long non-coding RNA, 473 nt
Organism: Telopea speciosissima
Lineage: Eukaryota; Viridiplantae; Streptophyta; Magnoliopsida; Proteales; Proteaceae
Exons: 3
Source: RefSeq, a predicted model, not a curated record
UUUUUAAGUGCUUGUCAUUUUUUGAGAGAGUUUCCUGAAGAUAUGGGUAACCUCAUAAACCUUCGGUAUCUUUUUCUCCCUGUACAGUCAGAAGAGGAUUAUUUCUAUAAUUUGCCAUUAAGAGUAGAAAACUCAACUAGUCUUCAGACAUUGAGCACAUUCAUUGUUGGGCCAAAAACAUAGCAGCGAGUUGAGGAACUUGUCCCAACAACUCCGUGGGAGUCUGGACAUUUCACAGUUGGAAAAUGUAGGCUAUUAUAAUGAGAAAGAAACCAUGGUGGACGGUUUAAAGAACAACACAAACCUUCUUGGGCUACGACUGCAGUGGAGUGCUUAUGAAAGCGAUGAUAGUUUUCCUGAUUUGGGAAGAGAUGAAAAAGUAGAAGACGAUGUACUAGACCGAUUACAGCCUCCUACAAAUCUUGAAGCGCUAUGGAUUCAAAACUAUGGUGGUAUGAGAUUCCCAAGCUGGA